Molecule: long non-coding RNA, 434 nt
Organism: Sapajus apella (tufted capuchin)
Lineage: Eukaryota; Metazoa; Chordata; Mammalia; Primates; Cebidae
Exons: 2
Source: RefSeq, a predicted model, not a curated record
AGUGGCUUUUCCCGCCAAUCCGCGGGCUGCACAGUGGCCCACGGCGUGGCUCCUGCAGAUCCACCAAUCUCAGGGUCUGGUUCCUGAUGAACUUCAAUCUCCCAGAAUGCUUAGUGCAACAGCCGAGUGCCGUUGGGAAACUACACCUCCCAUGAAACCCUGCAGUAUAACCUUGAACUAUCAGCACGGAGCCAUACAUAAGUACCUCAGGGCCAGUGGCGCAAUGGAUAACGCGUCUGACUACGGAUCAGAAGAUUCCAGGUUCGACUCCUGGCUGGCUCGGUCCUAGGUUGGCUGGGUUCCGCAGUCAUCUAAUGUCAGGUUUUCCCGUAACUACCUUCAGAGGUGUUUUUCUUGUGUCAAUUGAGAAAACUGGGUUAAUGGCUGGUGCUAUUAAAAUGGGCUUUGUCACUUUACAAUGCUACAUAUUAAAA